Molecule: unclassified non-coding RNA, 378 nt
Filed under: uncultured Gammaproteobacteria bacterium
Lineage: Bacteria; Pseudomonadati; Pseudomonadota; Gammaproteobacteria
Description: contains 16S-23S intergenic spacer region
Source: RNAcentral
UCGCGGCUUAUCACCGGCAGUCCCCUUAGAGUGCCCAACUAAAUGCUGGCAACUAAGGGCGAGGGUUGCGCUCGUUGCGGGACUUAACCCAACAUCUCACGACACGAGCUGACGACAGCCAUGCAGCUCCUGUGUUCCGGUUCCCUUUCGGGCACCCCCGCCUUUCAGCAGGCUUCCAGACAUGUCAAGGGUAGGUAAGGUUUUUCGCGUUGCAUCGAAUUAAUCCACAUCAUCCACCGCUUGUGCGGGUCCCCGUCAAUUCCUUUGAGUUUUAAUCUUGCGACCGUACUCCCCAGGCGGUCAACUUCGCGCGUUAGCUGCGCUACUAAGGCCCGAAGGCCCCAACAGCUAGUUGACAUCGUUUAGGGCGUGGACUAC